Molecule: ribosomal RNA, 243 nt
Filed under: uncultured bacterium
Lineage: Bacteria
Description: partial 16S ribosomal RNA
Rfam family: Bacterial small subunit ribosomal RNA
Source: RNAcentral
AGCGAAGUCGCGAGGCGGAGCAAAUCUCAAAAACCGGUACCCAGUUCGGACUGCAGCUGCAACCCGCCUGCACGAAGCCGGAGUUGCUAGUAAUCGCGAAUCAGAAUGUCGCGGUGAAUGCGUUCCCGGGUCUUGUACACACCGCCCGUCACACCAUGGAAGUUGGGGGUGCCCAAAGCCGGCAAGCAAAUAUGCUGUCUAGGGCAAAAACCAAUGACUGGGGUGAAGUCGUAACAAGGUAGC